AAUUUUUUCUACUUUUACGAGCUUUCUCUAAAUCCCUAAUUUUCAAAUUUCUUGGAGAUUUGGGAUGAGAAUUUAAGAGAAGAAAAUUCAAUGAGGUUUUUAGUUGCAUUUAUUUUGUGAAUUCAAGGUUGAUAUUACAGUGUUUUAAAGCAUGGAGUUCAACUCAUGAUAACCUUAAAGUUCCUGAUGCUAGAUGUAAUUAUCCAUAUAAUUUAUUAUAUCCAUUUUUCGUGUUUUGACAUAUGUGUGUGUCCUGAUAUUGCAACUGUGACUCAACUAAUAGCGAGGUAUUUAAGCUUGUAGGAUCUUCCAAGUUCCAAUAUGAUUGGGUUAGUUGUUUCACUCCUAUAUCCUAAUGAACUUUAAGACUAAAAAGGCAUGAUCAACUAUACUGAAUCCUUUGUGCUAUAUAUUAAAUAAAUUAUGCCUUAUUGAAUCAAAUUUUGGACAUUAUGCUAGUAAUCCAUGUACUCUUCUCUUUUAGCCUUGCAUAAUCUAGCAACAUAUCAGUAACUUGUUUCAUAUAAAAUGGAAAUUAUCUUUAGAUUUAAAAAGAGAAAACCAUCACAAGGCAAACUCAGAAUCUUAUCUAUGAUAUCUUUUAUAGCCCAUGCAUAGCCCCAUGUAUAAUUUUAUGCCCCUUCUUCCCCUCUUCUUGUCAUUUCAUUUGGUCUUGACAUCAUACUUGUAUACACUAGCAUAUGAAUUUAAAAGAAUUGGCAAUAUAUCAAUUUGUUAAGGUAAACCAAAGUGCAGUAUACUGAGAUGACUUAAAAUUUCAUUGUGUGGUUCACCUAUUUCUGCUUAAUCAUGUUAAUCCAUAAAUCUUACGGGGUGAACUACAGAG
This 847-nucleotide unclassified non-coding RNA is filed under the name Hevea brasiliensis (rubber tree). The record is from RNAcentral. Lineage: Eukaryota; Viridiplantae; Streptophyta; Magnoliopsida; Malpighiales; Euphorbiaceae.